Molecule: ribosomal RNA, 930 nt
Filed under: uncultured bacterium
Lineage: Bacteria
Description: bacterial SSU rRNA
Rfam family: Bacterial small subunit ribosomal RNA
Source: RNAcentral
GGGUUUAAGGUGCGUAGGCGGUAAAUAGUGUCAGUGAAGCUACGGCUCAACUGUAGUAGUGCUGCGAUACUGUAUAACUAGAACAUGGGAGGGGUACUGGAAUGUGUGGUGUAGCGGUGAAAUGCGUAGAUAUCACACAGAACACGGAGGCGAGGCGGGGUACUAGACCAUAGUUGACGCUGAGGCACGAAAGCGUGGGGAUCAAACAGGAUAGAUACCCUGGUAGUCCACGCCCUAAACGAUGAUCACUAGAUAUGGCGACAGACAGUCAGUGUCUAAGCGAAAGUGAUAAGUGAUCCACCUGGGGAAUACGGCCGCAAGGUUAAAACUCAAAGGAAUUGACGGGGGCCCGCACAAGCGGAGGAGCAUGUGGUUUAAUUCGAUGGUACGCGAGGAACCUUACCUGGGUUAGAACGUAUGAUAGAUGUAGCUGAAAGGUUACAGACCUGCGAGGGAUAUCAUACGAGGUGCUGCAUGGUUGUCGUCAGCUCGUGCCGUGAGGUGUUUGGUUAAGUCCAGCAACGAGCGCAACCCCUACCUUUAGUUGCCAUCAGGUAAAGCUGGGGACACUAGAGGGACUGCCUGCGCAAGCAGAGAGGAAGGUGGGGAUGACGUCAAAUCAGCACGGCCCUUAUGUCCAGGGCUACACACGUGCUACAAUGGUAACUACAGAGGGCAGCGACUAGGCGACUAGGAGCGAAUCUCGAAAAGUUAUCUCAGUUCGGAUUGGAGUCUGCAACUCGACUCCAUGAAGGUGGAUUCGCUAGUAAUCGCGCAUCAGCAAUGGCGCGGUGAAUACGUUCCCGGGCCUUGUACACACCGCCCGUCAAGCCAUGGAAGUUGGGGGUACCUGAAGUUCGUAACCGUAAAAGGAGCGACCUAGGGUAAACUCGAUGACUGGGGCUAAGUCGUAACAAGGUAGCCGUAAAU